Molecule: long non-coding RNA, 764 nt
Filed under: Ananas comosus (pineapple)
Lineage: Eukaryota; Viridiplantae; Streptophyta; Magnoliopsida; Poales; Bromeliaceae
Description: long non-coding RNA (ACOM_LNC039676)
Source: RNAcentral
AGCAGAUUAUUGGUUAAAUAGUAUAAUUUAACGGCUAUCAAAUGCUUAGUACUUUUAAAAGUACUAUAGCCAAACUCUCUCUCUCUCUCUCUCUCUCUCUAUAUAUAUAUAUAUAUAUAAUCCGGCUAUGAUGCUUAUAAAUGCACUAUCAAACAUUUUGUGCUUGUAAAUUUUUUACCGUUAGAUCUACGGUUUUGAUCAUUUUCAACCGUUAGAUUAUACUAUUCAACCAACCACCUACUCCACCCUAGGAAGCCCAUAUCAUCCUAACCGCGUAUCCCUUAAUCCAAUGUCAAAAAAUCUACAAGCACUAUUUUUAAAAGCAUAGGAGCUCAAUGUUAUAUAUAUAUAUAUAUAUAGUGGCCCGGUAUGCUUCUGAAAGUACAGAGCCCUCCGUGCUUUCAAGUUGUUUUCGAUGUUCGGACUUUCGAAUCGACGAUUGGCUCCAUUAGACUUGAUCUAGAGUAUUUGAAGUACUUAGAAAAUAAAUUUUGUAAUUUUUCGAUAUCAUUUGCCUAGUGAUCGAAGGAGCUCAAAAUCAGUAAUUUUAAUGGCCGUGGUGAGCCGUUUGCAAGUUUGACGGUGUAGAAAUAUUCAAAUCACAUGAAAUUUUGAUAGAAAAUUCUUUAUACCAUAUAAAACAAGAUCAAUAACUUUAUCUAAAAUUUUAAUAUCAUAUAAUCAUAUUUUGUAAGAUUUUUAUUUUCAGCCGUUGAUUUUGAGCUACUUCGAUUACUAGGCAAAUGAUAUCGAAAAAUCGCAAA